UCAGGUAAACAAUCAAAACAUUUUGUCUCUCCACAAUCGGAAAUCAACACACUCAGAUCGUGAGAAGUUCUCUCGCUUCCUCUUUCGAUUUUAUCGCUGACUCUCUUCCUCUUUUGCUUUGAAAUCGAACGAGGAUGGAGAAGAAGACAGCGAAGAAGACAGGUGCUGAAGAACUUCAGACCCAAUCACCACUCUCUUCUCCGGCUUCUCUUCUCCAUUUAGCUGCCGUCAAUGCCAACUUAGAGAGAUAGAGCUCAGCCAUGUUUCUCCGCCUUCCUCCAUGUCACCUCUAUAUUGUAUUAGCGUGGAGAUUCAUUAGCAUCACCAGCCACCUCUCCUCAUCUCACCGGAGCUAUUGUCUCUCACCGGGGAAGCCGUUUUUGUUGUGAUCCUUAUCAUUGUGGGAUCGUGACCAAAAUGAAAUGAGAAGUGAAACCGGAGCCGUCACGUUCCAUCAGGACCAGCCACCGAUCCGAGCCCCAUUAACCAUCCAUCACGGGAGAGCCGCCGUCGUGAUGUCACCACCUUUGCUUAUGGGUUUUGGUUAUGUCUCUGAGAUUUUAUUAAAAUUGUUAUCAGAUUAAGAGGGAGAUUUCGACCAUGAAACUCGUUCGUCAUCCUUGUGUUGUUCGUCUUUACGAGUUUCUAGCAGGUCGCACAAAUAUUUACAUCCUCUUGGAGUAUAAUACAUGUGGUGAACUGUUCAUAGAAUUGUGAACUAUCUAGCUCUCGACUCAACUACUUCAGGUGAUGAUAAUCUUUGGAAGACAUUGCUUAUCCACUUGUUACAUGUUAUAGGUUCGUAAUGAACGUAUUAGUGAAGCAAAAGCUAGGAAGUACUUACACUAGCUUACCGAAGGAGUUGAUAGUAAAGGGGUCUACCACAGAGAUCUAAAGGUGGUUUCUUUUGCUGACAAUCAACAAUCUUUUCAAACAAAAUAUGGUUUUUGGUUGUUUCUGCUGUAAAUUGUAGCCUGAAAAACUUCUGCUACAUUCUCAAGGAAAUCUCAAGAUAUCUGAUUAUGGGCUCAGUGCAUUACAAGAACGAGUAAUGGUGGUUUCAGUUUAUUGUUUUACUUUCAGAUUGAAUUUUUAUCAACUAAUCAUCUGACUUGUAUCUUAAGGGAGUUACCAUUUUAAAGACAACUUGUGAAACUCCAAAUUAUGUUGCCUUUUAAGUGUUGAAUCAUAAGGGUUACAAUGGUGUCGUGGCAGAUGUAUGGUCCUGUGGGGUCAUCCUUUAUGUUCUGAGUCAUAACUCAUAAGAAUUACAACUGAGCCUUAUGAUGAGAACGACUCAUGUUCCAUAUCUUAUAUUGCAGUAUGUUGUGUUUUAAGUUUUAACCAGAGGAAGGAUACAAAGUUAUAUUCCUAAACAAUCUUUUUUUUCCUUUUAAUGUAUUGAAUCUAUUCUUCUUGGAUUGUUUCAUUGAUCACCUUUCUAUUAGAACCAAUAAUCGCUUGAAGAUGGGGUCCAUGGUUACUUUCAGUCCAAAGUUUAUAGGUGAGGUUAAGAUGAGUGAUGAAGCUGUUGCAGACCAAAUCUAGAGGGAGUAAGGGCAUUUCAAAAACAAGUAGUUACUGCUUUUUGUCCCACUGAACAGAGCAAGCAAGUGGCAAGCUAUAACCAAAUUUAGAGGGAAGAGUAAACAUACACGAGUAUAGUGUGUUACUGGGAAAGCGAGCUGAUUCCAAAAUAUUGAGUGCAGCUAUGGGAUGAAUCAGAUUCCAUAUUUUCUGCUACCGAGAGAGGUAGAUAUGUCUUCCGCUACAGUUGAAAGACACGUUUCUACCUUUGUGCUUCUUAAUAUCUUGUGUUCAUCUUGGUUAAAAUUAACCUUUUGACUUUUUUAUAACAUUGUUAGUUUGGGAAGUUUUUUAAAAAACAAUGAAAAACAUCUCAAACGA
Brassica oleracea var. oleracea is the source of this 1908-nucleotide long non-coding RNA. RefSeq lists it as uncharacterized. The record is from RefSeq and is a predicted model, not a curated record. The transcript is spliced from 3 exons. NCBI's taxonomy places the organism in Eukaryota, Viridiplantae, Streptophyta, Magnoliopsida, Brassicales, Brassicaceae.